CAAUUGCGAGGUAGCUGCCUACUACAACUCAGCAUUUCACUUUUUCUUCCUUUUUCUCAUCCAGUACCCACCUUUAAGCACAGAAAAAACUCAAUUCCAAUUUCAAAACUCUACCUCUCCCACGCCCAUCACCUCUCCUCAGCCUCAGUAUUGAUGGGAAUGGAACUCAUAAGAUUUUGCGUUAAGGAAGAGAAUGAUGACGUUCCAUCAGUUCCUCCUGGUUUUGAGUCGUAUGCUGCUUUCACUUUAAAGAGGGUCCAAGACGUUGAAAAACAAGAAACUCAAGGUGUAAUUACCUGUUCAGCCUCUGUAAGCUCUUCUGAAUUACAGUCAGUCAAGAUGGAAAUGGAUACCGACCCUUGUGCUGACACAAAAAUUAGAAGGUCUCUCCGGCGUAGAGCCUGGAUAAACUAUGGAAAAUUGGACAAUAAUAGUUCGGAGGAUGAAUCUGAUUUGGUAAAGCUUGAUCAAAAUCUCAGUUUAAGGCCUCAUCUUCCCAAGGGGGUUAUUCGUGGGUGUGCACAAUGCAGAAAUUGCCAAAAGGUCACUGCAAUAUGGCAUCCUGAAUGUGCUCGCAGGCCUGACCUUGAGUAUGCUCCUGUGUUCUACCCUACUGAAGAGGAGUUUGAGGAUACUAUGAAAUACAUAGCUAGCAUACGGCCAAAAGCUGAACCAUAUGGAAUAUGUCGCAUUGUUCCUCCUCCUUCUUGGAAACCUCCCUGUCCUCUGAAGGAAAAAUCUAUUUGGGAGGGUUCUACUUUUGCUACUCGUGUCCAGAGGGUUGACAAACUGCAGAAUCGAGCUUCAAUGAAAAAAAUGUCAAAGCUAUAUAACCACACCAGAAAGAAAAGGAGAACAUGCAUGAGAAUGGCAGUACAUUGUGGGGCAGAUAUUGGAAAUGUCUCAGGGAAUAAUGAUGCUGGUGUUUGUGAGGCUGAGUGUUUUGGGUUUGGACCUGGUCCAGAGUUUACUCUGUACACAUUUCAGAAAUAUGCGGAUGAUUUCACUGCCCAGUACUUCAGGAAGAAUGAUAUGAAUAAGGGAGGUAACAUGGCAGUUCUUCAUGAUAAAUGGGAGCCAACUGUGGAGAAUAUUGAAGGAGAAUAUUGGCGGAUUGUAGAGAAAGCGACUGAAGAGAUAGAGGUGCUUUAUGGGGCUGAUCUGGAAACUGGGUUUUUUGGCAGUGGGUUUCCAAAAUUGUUCAGUCAAGUUGGUUCUGAUGCAAAUGAACGUUAUGCAAAAUCUGGUUGGAACUUGAAUAACUUUCCGAGGCUUCCUGGAUCUGUCCUUUCUUAUGAAAGUGGUGAUAUAUCUGGUGUUUUAGUGCCAUGGUUGUAUAUAGGAAUGUGCUUUUCCUCCUUCUGUUGGCAUGUCGAAGAUCAUCACUUAUAUUCACUGAAUUACAUGCAUUGGGGUGCUCCAAAAAUGUGGUAUGGGGUCCCAGGGAAGGAUGCCAUUAAAUUGGAAGAGGUUAUGAGAAAGCAUUUACCUGAUCUUUUUGAAGAACAACCUGACUUACUGCAUAAGCUGGUGACACAGCUUUCUCCUUCUGUACUAAAAUCUGAAGGCGUACCAGUCUAUCGGUGUGUACAAAAUUCUGGAGAGUUUGUUUUAACAUUUCCUCGAGCAUAUCAUUCAGGGUUUAAUUGUGGCUUCAAUUGUGCGGAGGCAGUAAAUGUAGCCCCUGUUGACUGGUUGCCCCAUGGACAGAUUGCUAUAGAGCUUUAUCGUGAGCAGGCGCGAAAGACUUCCAUCUCCCAUGAUAAACUGUUGCUUGGAGCGGCAAGGGAAGCAGUGAGAGCUCAUUGGGAACUUAAUUUACUGAAAAAGAAUACAACAGAUAACUUAAGAUGGAAAGAUGUAUGUGGAAAGGAUGGAAUAUUAGCAAAAGCACUCAAGGAACGUGUGGAGAUGGAGCGUGUGAGGAGAGAAUUUCUUUGCAAAUCUUCACUGGUGCUGAAGAUGGAGAGCAAUUUUGAUGCCACAAAUGAAAGGGAAUGUAGUGUCUGCCUUUUUGAUUUGCACCUAUCUGCAGCAGGAUGUCCUUGUUCUCCAGAUAAGUAUGCAUGCUUGAAUCAUGCAAAGCAGAUGUGUUCAUGUGAUUGGGGUACCAAAUAUUUCCUAUUUCGCUAUGACAUCAGUGAAUUAAACAUCCUUGUUGAGGCAUUGGAAGGAAAAUUGAGUGCAGUUUACAGAUGGGCAAGAUUAGAUCUUGGACUGGCCCUGACAUCUUAUGUCUCCAAAGACAAUUUGCAAGAUUGUAAAUUUUCUUAUUUGCCAGAUAGAAGAGCACUUAAGGAGGCGAGAUCAAAAGCAUCAAUUGAUCUUCUUAGAGAUGUGGACGGUAAAGGAACCACCAGGGAAAUCACAUUGACUUCAAUGAAGAUCUUUGGUGAGACUUAUUCGGUAGAAAAAAAGACACCUUCUGAGGAAGGCACAGAGACAUCAUCUAUGUCCUGUAGUUCUUUUCAAGCAACUGAGAAUCAAAAUCACUAUUCAAAGUCAAAUGAAGAAUCCGUCCUUUCUUCUAUCAAUUUAAGGACAGCAGUAUGCCAGCUAUCUCGAGAAGACAUGUCCUAUGCUGGAGACCUCGCUUCAUCAGAAUGUGGAAUGAAAAAACCUUCAACUUUGGGCCAUGAUAAUAUUAGUCUUCGUAGUGAUGAUGAAGGUGACGAACCAAAGGAAUCAGUUGUAGAAAGAGCAACAGAAAUUUCUCUUGCAAAGCACUCAGAAUUUUCUAAGAGGUCAUCUAGUUCUGAUGAUGACCCCUGCAAUGACAAUAAACAUUCAAUCUUAAUUGCGCCUGUGACUGAUGCUGCAGUGAUUAGUAAAAAUGAUGUUAGUUCUUCCCCUGAUCCUGAUGGACAAAGGAAUAAUUGUAUAUUCAAUCUUGUAAAAGUGAAGGAUGACCAGAUUCAACAUCGUAAAAUAGUUCUUGCAUCUAAUGCAGCAGACAGCUCUUGCCAUGCAGGCUGUACUAGUGCAGGAUGUGGUAAGAAUGUUCAACAGUCUUCAAACAUGAGAGAGACCAGUAAGGAUCAAAAUAUGGCAAUUGCUAGGUGUCCACAGCCACAGCAUUGUGGCAUUGCAAAUCCUAAUGAUGAGGAUAAGAUGGGAGCAAAUGCCACAUCAAAUCCAGUGGAUAACUCAAGAACUAUGGCAGGUAGCCCAUCUUGCUCACAAAAUAAUUUGGACCGAUAUUUCCGCCAGAAGGGUCCCCGAAUUGCCAAGGUAGUGCGAAGGAUUAACUGUAAUGCUGAGCCUCUGGCCUUCGGAGUUAUACAUCCUGGAAAAUUGUGGUGUAACAGCCAGGCGAUAUUUCCCAAAGGAUUUAAGAGCCGGGUUAGAUACACAAGUGUUUUAGAUCCAACAAAUAUAUGUUACUAUGUUUCAGAAAUUCUGGAUGCAGGGCGAGAUAGACCUCUGUUCAUGGUUUCCUUGGAGCAUUGUCCAACUGAGGUAUUCGUUCACCUUUCCGCAGCCAGAUGCUGGGAAAUGGUGAGAGAGAGAGUAAAUCAAGAGAUUACAAAGCAACAUAAAUUGGGAAGAAUGAACUUACCUCCUUUGCAACCUCCUGGAAGUCUUGAUGGCUUUGAAAUGUUUGGGUUUUCUUCACCAGCAAUUGUUCAGGUAAAUUAACUGUGGGGCAGAUCAUCCUUUUUCCCUCUAAUCAUGUGCUUUCUUUCUUGUGUUUCUGGAUGACAGUUUUGUAUAUGGUACAGGUACUGCUUCCAUAGCACAUACAUCAUAAGAUUCUGUUUGUACUUUCACAGUUCCAUUUUAUUUUAAAUUGAGGGUGUUGGGGAUCUGAGGUUGAUCGCCAUCCAUGUUAGCGGGGAAUAGCUUCUUUGUUGAAAGAAUUAAAAAUGCACUUUAAAUGGCAAAAGUUGCAUUGGCAAUUCAUGGCAACUUCCUUAGAAAAUUUUUAUUUUUUAAUUCUUUAUGGAACAAAUGCUUGCAUUGAACAACAAAUUAUAUACAUCUUAUAUUUAUUUUCUUUAAACAGGCCAUAGAGGCAUUGGAUCGAAAUCGAGUUUGCUUAGGUUAUUGGGACUCCAGGCCCUACUCACGACCUCAGGGUCAGAUUCCACAACCUUCUCAACCCAAAGAAAGUGGAGGAUAUGUCAAGGGGACAUCUGAGGAACAUGAUAAUAGAGGGACUCCUGGGAGCAAUCUGCUACCUCAUGGAGUUGAUGAUACGAUACUUCGAGGCUUAUUCAAGAAGGCAAACCCAGAAGAAUUAUACACACUGAGUCGAAUUCUAAAUGAUGAUAAGCCAAAAGUUGAUGGAGGCUUAAUGACACUUCUUAAUGAAGAGAUUCACAAUCGCCCUAGAUAGUUCACUAAUUUGGUCUCACAAGGCUCUGAGACCGAAUUUGCCAUUGCAAUUUUUUUGUGACUGCUGUAAAUUCCAAAUUCUCACUGUCACCUUGCACAUACAUCUCCAUUUAAUCUACUAAAUUCUUUUACUUAAGAGAGAGAAAAGGAAAAGGAAGGAAAUAUUUUCUUGUGUAAUUCUUCUCCAUAGUUGCCAUUUAUGAAAGGAGAAGCUGACAAUGUAUCUGGUGGAUACUCCCAUUUUUGUGAUACAGUGAGCAGAAUGCCUUCAUGUGGGGUUAAACAUGCCAUCUGUAUUCUUCUUCUUGAUUCUUGACAUUUUCUUUGUCUAGGAGAUAUUCCUGACAUUGCUUGCUCCCUAAGCUGAUAAGCUGAGACAGGAUGAGAGAAACUCAUGGAGCUUCUUCUGAUGAAAAAAAAAAAGAAGAAAUUAACUAGAAUGGUUGAACUUGCCUACAAACACUUCAGUAGAAUAUUAUGAUGUUCUUGUGAAUCUUUCGUGGGCAUUUUAUUUAGCCCUAUUUUAUUGUGGGAUUUUUUUUUGCUUA
RNAcentral lists this unclassified non-coding RNA (4886 nucleotides) under Hevea brasiliensis (rubber tree). Lineage: Eukaryota; Viridiplantae; Streptophyta; Magnoliopsida; Malpighiales; Euphorbiaceae. The record is from RNAcentral.